RNAcentral lists this ribosomal RNA (3225 nucleotides) under Triticum aestivum (bread wheat). Its description in RNAcentral is "partial small subunit ribosomal RNA". The record is from RNAcentral. Lineage: Eukaryota; Viridiplantae; Streptophyta; Magnoliopsida; Poales; Poaceae.
AUGCAAAGCCAGGCCCGCCCGACCAUGGCCAUCAUCACCACGGCGCGCUCUCUCUUCUCCACUCCACUCUCCCUGUCCUCCACCACCACCUCCUCCUCCUCCUUCCGAGCCUCUCAUCAUGAUGUGCAUGCACCAGUGCAACACCGCCAUUACCUUUCCUUCCUCCAUUUUACCAUCGCCUCCCCUCCUCACACCGCCGACACCUCCACCACCAUGGCCUCACAGGUCCCCUUCCAUGGCCUCCUGCUUCUGCUCCCGCUCCUCACCAUCACCACCGCGUCGUCGGCGCCGCUCCCGCUGCUCGCGCUUCUCUCUCUCAAGUCCUCCCUGAACGACCCGGCCGGCGCGCUCAGUCCAUGGACUUACGCCGCGGCGGCCUCCGCAGGCGCCACCCGGUCGCUCUCCCCUCCGUGGUGCGCAUGGCCCGGCGUCGUGUGCGACGCGGCCACCGGCGACGUCGUCGGGGUCGAUCUGUCUCGCCGCAACCUAUCCGGCACCGUCUCCCCCACGGCCGCCGCGCUGCUCGCGCCGACGCUGGCUUCGCUCAACCUCAGCUGGAACGCCUUCACGGGGGAGCUCCCGCCGGCGGUGUUCUUGCUCCGUCGUCUUGUGAAGCUUGACAUCAGCCACAACUUCUUCAACUCCACCUUCCCCGACGGCAUUGCCAGGCUCGGCUCCCUCUCCGUACUCGAUGCCUACAGCAACUGCUUCGAGGGCCAGCUUCCCCGCGGCAUCGGGGAGCUCCAGAGGCUCGAGCACCUCAACCUCGGGGGCAGUUUCUUCAAUGGGAGCAUUCCGGUCGAGGUUGGGCAGCUUCGGCAGCUACGCUUCCUGCACCUCGCCGGGAACGCCCUCUCAGGGCAGCUGCCGAAGGAGCUCGGCGAGCUCGCGCUGCUCGAACACCUUGAGGUCGGGUAUAAUGGCUACAAUGGUGGCAUACCAGCGGAGUUCGGUGGGCUGACGCAGCUCCGGUACCUCGACAUCGCCGCGGCAAAUGUGUCCGGCUCGCUUCCGCCGGAGCUUGGCGGGCUCGCGCGGCUCGAAUCUCUGUUUCUAUUCAAGAACAGGCUAGCCGGCGCAAUACCGCCGCCGUGGUCGCGCCUCCGAGCACUGCAGGUUCUUGACCUGUCGGACAACCAGCUCGCCGGAGCUAUACCCGCCGGUCUGGGCGAGCUCGCGAAUCUCACGACGCUGAACCUCAUGAGCAACUUCCUCUCCGCCACGAUCCCGGCGACGAUCGGUGAGCUUCCCAACCUCGAGGUGCUGCAACUGUGGAACAACUCACUCAUCGGGAGGCUGCCGGAGUCGCUCGGUACGAGCGGGCGGCUCGUUCGCCUGGACGUGUCGACCAACUCCCUCUCCGGCCCGAUCCCGUCGGGACUCUGCACCGAUCACCGACUCCUCCGCCUCAUACUCUUCGCCAACCGAUUUGACUCCGCCAUCCCGGCGAGCCUCGCCAACUGCUCGUCGCUGUGGCGGGUUCGGCUCGAGUCCAACCGGCUCUCCGGCACGAUUCCGUCCGGCUUCGGCGCGGUGCAGAACCUGACGUACAUGGACUUGAGCUCCAACGAGCUCACCGGCGGCAUUCCGGCUGAUCUGGUCAUUUCCCCGAGCCUGGAGUACCUCAACGUCUCCGGCAACCCGAUCGGCGGUACGCUUCCGAGCAAUACGUGGCGGGCACCGAAGCUGCAAGUCUUGGCGGCGAGCAAGUGCGCUCUGGACGGCGAAAUCCCGCCGUUUGGCACCUCCGGGUGCGCAAACUUGUACAGGCUGGAGCUGGCCUGGAAUGAGCUGAGCGGCGCGGUCCCCGGUGACAUUGGCAGCUGCAAGCGGCUGGUGAGCUUGAGGCUGCAGCACAACAACCUGAGUGGCGAGAUCCCAGCGGUGCUCGCGGCGCUGCCGUCGGUCACCGAGGUGGACCUCUCCUGGAACGUCCUUACCGGCAGCAUCCCGCCGGGCGUCGCCAAUUGUACUACGCUGGAGACCUUCGACGUGUCUUUCAACCAUUUAGCACCGGUUGGGACGGCCUCGCGGUCGCCGACUCCCGGCGAGGGCGGUUCAGCGCGCCACACCGCUGCAAUGUGGAUGUCAGCCGUGGCAGUGGCGUUCGCCGGAAUGGUGGUGCUGGCGCUUACCGCGCGCUGGCUGCAGUGUCUGGAGGACGACUCGGUGGCCUCGAGCAGCGCCGGAGCGGGAGGGGCACGCCCUAACGUAGUCGUUGGGCCGUGGAGGAUGACCGCGUUUCAGAGGCUGAGCUUCACAGCGGACGACGUGGCACGGUGCGUCGAGGGGAGCGACGGCAUCGUCGGCGCCGGGUCGUCGGGAACGGUGUACCGGGCGAAGAUGCCGAAUGGCGAGGUAAUCGCCGUGAAGAAGCUGUGGCAAGCGCCGGCGCAAAAGGAGACAGCCGCAGAUCACGCGGCGAAGCAAAUGGACACACAAGACGGCGGCGACGGCAACGAGAGGGUGCUCUCCGAGGUGGAGAUGCUCGGCCAUCUCCGCCACCGCAACAUCGUUCGGCUGCUCGGGGUGUGCACAAACGGCGAGACGACGAUGCUGCUCUACGAGUACAUGCCCAACGGCAGCCUCGACGAGCUCCUGCACGGCGCCACGGCGGGAAAGACGCCGAAGGCGCGCCCGGAGUGGGACGCGCGGUACAGAAUCGCCGUCGGCGUGGCGCAGGGCGUGAGCUACCUCCACCACGACUGCCUGCCCGCGGUGGCGCACCGCGACCUCAAGCCCAGCAACAUCCUCCUCGACGCCGACAUGGAGGCCCGCGUGGCCGACUUCGGCGUUGCCAAGGCUCUCCAGGGCGCCGCGCCAAUGUCCGUCGUUGCCGGCUCCUGCGGCUACAUCGCACCAGAGUACACGUACACACUGCGUGUGGACGAGAAGAGCGACGUGUACAGCUACGGCGUGGUGCUGCUGGAGAUUCUUACCGGGCGGAAGUCGGUGGAGGCGGAGUACGGGGAGGGCAGCAACAUUGUGGAUUGGGUGAGAUCCAAGGUCGCCGGCGGCGGCGGCGGCUUGCGCGACGUGAUGGAGCACGUUAGCAGCAACAGCGAGCCGGCGCGGGAGGAGAUGGCGCUGGUGCUGCGGGUGGCGCUGCUGUGCACGAGCCGGUGCCCGCAGGACCGGCCGUCGAUGAGGGACGUGCUGUCCAUGCUGCAGGAGGCCAGGCCCAAACCCGGCCGGAAACCGGCGGCGAAGAAGCUAGUGCCGUAG